This is a small nuclear RNA of Ochotona princeps (American pika), 104 nucleotides long. The record is from Ensembl. Lineage: Eukaryota; Metazoa; Chordata; Mammalia; Lagomorpha; Ochotonidae.
GUACUUGCUAAGGCGGCACAUAUACUAAAAUUGGAGCAACACAGAGAUUAGCAUGACCCCUGCACAAGGAUGGCAUGCAAAUUCAUGAAGCAUUCCAGAUUUAA